UUGACCUUUUAAUGACUGUCCAGAGAGGCAGGGAAAGGUUCGUUUGCCAACUGUUCACUAUAAAAUGUGAACAGUCAUUUGAGGCAAGCAACACGAACCUUUCCGAACAUUCGGGAAGGUUUUUAUCUU
Non-coding RNA from Sporosarcina sp. HYO08, 129 nucleotides. NCBI's taxonomy places the organism in Bacteria, Bacillati, Bacillota, Bacilli, Caryophanales, Caryophanaceae. The record is from Rfam.